GAUCAGUUCCCUCUGGCCUCUAGAGUUUGGCUCAGCACCAGGGAACCUGUGUCCUCUCUGAGACCAAGGCACCAUUCCAAUGACAGGUUUCCUGAGGUGAAUGAAGUCAGAAGAGGCAUUCAGGAAACUAUGAAUACAUUCGGAUUAUCCAGGUGUUCCCACUGCAGCUGGAACACAAUCUUCCAUCCACAGCUCCAGUGGCUGAGUCAAAGUCUCAUCCCAUGUAAGAGGCUAUGAAAAUCCCACAACCCUGUUGGAAAAGCAGAAUGAUGGCCAAAUUGUCUCCUUUCUGCUGUGUAGAGGAGCCCACUAAAACUGGGGACCCCCUAGAAACUUCAGAUCUAUAGUACUUAGACCGGAGGAUCCCCCAGGGCCACAUCUUACAGGAAGAUCUGCAUCCCAUGGAAGCCCCUGGCCUGGCCUUCUGCAGUGCCACGCUCCGUGUAUUUGACAAGCUGAGUUGGACACUCCGUGUGCUAGAGUGUCAGUUUGUCAAAUACCCCAAGUGCGGUACAUGCCUAGCAGCUCCACACCAGCGCAGAUGGGAUCCAACAUAUAUACUACCAGCUGGAUAUAGGAAUGCUUGUCAAGCAACCAGUUCUCCUAACUUAUUUAUUUAUUCUUUUGUGACUUUAAGGGAGCAGAGUAUUGCUUCUGAGGGUUCCAGGGAAAAUGUGCAGCAUUUCUGGGAAUCACAGCUCUGGUCUGUGUCUACACACAUCAUGAGAAUUCCAAGGAGCACACAGUAGUCUUAAAAAAAAACACAAGGGAUACAGGGAUAGAAGUGCUCUUUGAUUUGCUAUUAUUUUCUUCCUUCACAUUCCCCUUCCAGAAUGUCACAGGCAGGACACCAGAAUCAAACAUUAUGGGUUAUGUGAUAAAGCAGGGCAUGUAAAUUUACUUUUUUUGAUGUUUAUUAUUGACUUCUAAACACAGACUGGCCUUGUCUACCUCUUUCAUUUUCCUCCUGCCUCUUCUUAGAACAAUUUCUCCAUUUCUGUUGGCCUAAUUCUUCCCCAUACUUCCUGGUCCCAACACAGUGUAGUCUCCCCAGGGACUUUUGAAAGUCAUCCCAUACUUAUCCUUCUUCAUUUACAAAGCAGUCCUUGCCUGAGUCUUGUUUUGUGCCCCCAUAUCUCCUUCCACCCAAUACAACCUUUUGGAUCAUGAGUGAACUUUUCCAGGGCUUUCUCUUCAAUUCCUCACUACAUUGUGAGCUUCUAGAAGACAAGAAUAUAUUUCCUUGAUUGUUGUCUCCCCUACCAUAGCUCUGUAUUUUUUGGUUACAGAAAAUAUUCAAUAAAGUUUGCAGAUUGAUUGACUUUCUACUUAGUCUAUUAGUGUUGGAUCUUUGUGCCAAAUAUCACCCAGAGUUCUGAGAAAAAAAUUCAAACUAUGGAGACCACAAUGUUAUAGGGUGUAUGAGGGAGUAGCCAAUACGGAGGGUUUUUUUCUUCCUGACACAUAAUGCCAAGGACUGGAGGAAUGGGGAAAACAAGAGGGCAAAUAAAUUGAAGAAUUACUUGUUUAUACAGAUAUGUGGUACUUUAUUGUAGGAUUUUUAAGAGUCUUUAAUAUUCGAAUGUUGCUUUGGG
Long non-coding RNA from Sciurus carolinensis (gray squirrel), 1595 nucleotides. RefSeq lists it as uncharacterized. Lineage: Eukaryota; Metazoa; Chordata; Mammalia; Rodentia; Sciuridae. The record is from RefSeq and is a predicted model, not a curated record. The transcript is spliced from 5 exons.